AUCGCUUCUCGGCCUUAUGGCUAAGAUCAAGUGUAGUCUCUGUUCUUAUCAGUCUAAUCUCUGAUAUAUUCUCUAUUUGAGAAUAAUGUAUUAUUUGGAUUUUUGGUAUCGGGAAGUGGAAUAGGAGCUUGCUCCGUCUGCUCCAUGCAUCGACCUGGUAUUGCAGUGUUUCCAGGAGCGGUGCGCCUCCU
Hemicordylus capensis (graceful crag lizard) is the source of this 191-nucleotide small nuclear RNA. RefSeq annotates it as U2 spliceosomal RNA. The record is from RefSeq and is a predicted model, not a curated record. Lineage: Eukaryota; Metazoa; Chordata; Lepidosauria; Squamata; Cordylidae. The transcript has a single exon.